CCCCACAAACCCUAGCCGCCGCCAGCAAGGAAUGGUCGCCCUCCUGCAGCUCGCCGCAGCCCGAUCCGCCCUCCCCGGCGCACCCUCGCCCCACAUCGGAGGCUCCGCACACGCAAGUUCAUGACCAACCGUCUUCUCUCCCGCAAGCAGUUCAUGCUCGAGGUCAUCCACCCCGGCCGCCCCAACGUCUCCAAGGCGGAGCUCAAAGAGAGGCUGGCGAAGAUCUACGAGGUGAAGGACCCCGACUGCAUCUUCGUCUUCAAGUUCCGAACCAACUUCGGAGGUGGCAAGUCCACCGGAUUCGGUCUCAUCUACGACAACCUUGAGGCCGCCAAGAAGUUCGAGCCCAAGUACCGCCUCAUCAGGAACGACCUUGCUACCAAGGUAGAGAAGUCACGAAAGCAGAUGAAGGAACGUAAGAACAGGGCAAAGAAAAUCCGUGGUGUGAAGAAGACAAAGGCUGGAGAUGCCAAGAAGAAGUAAGGGAGGAAGUUACUUGCCUUGCCAUUUCUCUCAUCAUAGGCUUUGGUUUGUUUAGGGUGGGGCUCCUUCCGUCAAUGCUGAAUGUUUAGUUAGAAGUAGAGGAGAUUUUGCCAAUUACCCAUCAUGUUGAGUUUCUCGUUGCACCUUCUGUUCAGUUUUGAGGCACUUUGUCAGACACAAGAAUAUAUAUACCUGGUCAUCACGGCUUUUGUCC
This is an RNA transcript of Zea mays, 697 nucleotides long. It is a transcript of the gene named ribosomal protein S24 pseudogene, with no coding region annotated. Lineage: Eukaryota; Viridiplantae; Streptophyta; Magnoliopsida; Poales; Poaceae. The record is from RefSeq and is marked validated. The transcript is spliced from 4 exons.